GAUGAAGAACGUAGCGAAAUGCGAUACGUAAUGUGAAUUGCAGAAUUCAGUGAAUCAUCGAGUCUUUGAACGCACAUUGCGCCCCCUGGUAUUCCGGGGGGCAUGCCUGUCCGAGCGUCAUUGCUGCCCUCAAGCACGGCUUGUGUGUUGGGCCCCGUCCUCCGAUCCCGGGGGACGGGCGCGAAAGGCAGCGGCGGCACCGCGUCCGGUCCUCGAGCGUAUGGGGCUUUGUCACCCGCUCUGUAGGCCCGGCCGGCGCUUGCCGAUCAACCCAAAUUUUUAUCCAGGUUGACCUCGGAUCAGGUAGGGAUACCCGCUGAACUUAAGCAUAUCAAUAAGCGGAGGA
Molecule: unclassified non-coding RNA, 346 nt
Filed under: soil metagenome
Description: partial contains 5.8S ribosomal RNA, internal transcribed spacer 2, and large subunit ribosomal RNA
Rfam family: 5.8S ribosomal RNA (bases 1-120)
Source: RNAcentral